RNAcentral lists this ribosomal RNA (476 nucleotides) under uncultured organism. RNAcentral's name for it is "partial 16S ribosomal RNA". It matches the Rfam family "Bacterial small subunit ribosomal RNA", at positions 334 to 801 of the family's 1533-position model. The record is from RNAcentral.
CACUCCUACGGGAGGCAGCAGUGGGGAAUUUUGGACAAUGGGCGAAAGCCUGAUCCAGCAAUGCCGCGUGUGUGAAGAAGGCCUUCGGGUUGUAAAGCACUUUUGUCCGGAAAGAAAUCCUUGGCUCUAAUACAGUCGGGGGAUGACGGUACCGGAAGAAUAAGCACCGGCUAACUACGUGCCAGCAGCCGCGGUAAUACGUAGGGUGCGAGCGUUAAUCGGAAUUACUGGGCGUAAAGCGUGCGCAGGCGGUUUGCUAAGACCGAUGUGAAAUCCCCGGGCUCAACCUGGGAACUGCAUUGGUGACUGGCAGGCUAGAGUAUGGCAGAGGGGGGUAGAAUUCCACGUGUAGCAGUGAAAUGCGUAGAGAUGUGGAGGAAUACCGAUGGCGAAGGCAGCCCCCUGGGCCAAUACUGACGCUCAUGCACGAAAGCGUGGGGAGCAAACAGGAUUAGAAACCCCAGUAGUCCCAUGAU